RNAcentral lists this ribosomal RNA (588 nucleotides) under uncultured bacterium. RNAcentral's name for it is "bacterial SSU rRNA". It matches the Rfam family "Bacterial small subunit ribosomal RNA", at positions 337 to 916 of the family's 1533-position model. The record is from RNAcentral.
CCUUACGGAGCCCACCAGUAGGGAAUCUUCCGCAAUGGACGAAAUUCUGACCGGAGCAACGCCGCGUGAGCGAAGAAGUUCUUCGGAUUGUAAGCUCUGUUGUUAGGGAAGAACAAGUACCGUUCGAAGAGGGCGGUGCCGUGACGGUACCUAACGAGAAAGCCACGGCUAACUACGUGCCAGCAGCCGCGGUAAUACGUAGGUGGCAAGCGUUGUCCGGAAUUAUUGGGCGUAAAGCGCGCGCAGGCGGUUCCUUAAGUCUGAUGUGAAAGCCCACGGCUCAACCGUGGAGGGUCAUUGGAAACUGGGGGACUUGAGUGCAGAAGAGGAGAGCGGAAUUCCACGUGUAGCGGUGAAAUGCGUAGAGAUGUGGAGGAACACCAGUGGCGAAGGCGGUCACUUGGCCCAAUACUGACGCUGAGGCGCGAAAGCGUGGGGAGCAAACAGGAUUAGAUACCCUGGUAGUCCACGCCCUAAACGAUGGAUACUGGAUGUUUGGCGCCUUAGGUGCUGAGUGUCGUAGCUAACGCGAUAAGUAUCCCGCCUGGGAAGUACGGCCGCAAGGUUAAAACUCAAAGGAAUUGACGG